UUAUUUCCAGGGCUAUAGAUCAAACAAGUAUGCCUGAAAAUUCAUUAUACAUGCAGUGUGCACUAAAUAAUUAUUCCUGCCCAUGAAAGUGCUGGAGGAGAGACUAUGACAAGGUAUAGCUUUAAAAAAGCUGCUUGAUUUAUCAUUUAUAAAGCAAAGUUCAUAUCGGAUGUGCUAGUUAAAUAUUCAGCAAAUAAUCAGUCACUUGAAUAGCCCAGGUGCAGGAGGAAAGCCCACCAAGGAUGGUGCCCUCUCUUAUUUGACCUUAUUUUCAAUCUGGGCCUGAACAAAGCUCCUCUCCCUGGGCUCACUUUCUUGCAAUCAUCCUUGCAUUUAUUCCUACUGCCCCCACACACCUUUUUCUGGGUGAAUUUUGCCUUCAGUGUAUUUGGAAAUUGCAACUUGUUUUCACAGCUUUAUCUGCAAACUGAGAUGUCCUGAGGAUAUUUCUUGUGUCUGUCAGAUGGAGUUCUCCACUCUGCUACUCUUCUAUCAGGUACCAUUUUGUGGAAAAAAUGAUAGAUGUCUGGAAUAUGACAGGAGAGUGAGAAAUAAAUGAAGAAAGGUGAAGGAAAAUCAAAAAGGAUCAAAACUCAGAGCUGUUAAAUCCUUCACAUGACAAUGCUUGAUAAAUAUUGGAAAAACCUGAAAACAAAUCUCCAGCGUAAUUUACGAAUAGGAAGGGGAAAAAAACCUGUUCUGUUCACCUGGUAUUUGCCCUCUGGGUCCUCAUUCACGUGGCUGGCUGGGCUGACCCUGAGCAGGCAGGAGGAGGACCAGGAGCAGGCCCUCAUCGGAGGCUGCUCCAGAUACCCUGUUAUUUUGGCAAGUGCCAUUCCUGACCCUGCAGUGUGCUGAGGUUGCACAGAGCACAAGGUAAGGACUUGAAUUUAGGUUUUCCAAGCCUAGGGUCUGAGUUAAACACUAAUCAGAUAUGAAAAUCCUUGUUCUUGAGAGCUGUGCUCUUGCCAGCGGCCACCUGGACACAGCCCGUGUCCAGCUUGGAUGCUCUGCUUGAAGCAGGAGGAGUUGUAGCUGGUUCUGCUGGUUCUGCCCAUGGUGAAGUGACCCUUCAUUGCACUCUGGUGGGACAUCUGGCUGAAUCCUGAUGGAGGCAAAGUCAGCACGAACGUCACGACCUAGGAUGAAUCCUCUUGGUGAUUAAUCCUGUGUUCGGGGAUGAACUGCAGUUCAUCAAUCUUGUUAACCAUGGGUGUGCUGAGCGAGGGGAAGGCAGUGGGCUUGAUGGAUGGCUCAUCAUGCUACGGAGUAAGUGGAUAACUAAUAGGUAAGCAGCACAGUUUUGGCUGGAGUGUGGCUGCUGGGAUGGGGGGAGUGGCUGCAUCCAUCUGCUCAGGAACGCUGCCGGUACCUUGUGACAUAGGCCUUUGGGCACACGCUGCUACCAAAUGGUUGCAACUGCUUGUGAAUAGCUUGCUGGGCAGAUCACCGUAGGCAGUUCGUCAGAAGACCACAGCAGUACCUCUUAGAAAUUCACCCUCUAGAGCACAGUGUUUGACAAGAUGCACAUGGUUACUCUGCAUACGCAUGAGAAACAAGCAAUCAAGCGUGCUAACAACCAGCAUCAUUAAUUACCAGGCAUUUCCCUCAGUUGCUUCUGACCUCUGGUCACAGCUGCUGAAACUGUUCUUGUGCAACAAUUGCAUUCAGAGGCUCAGAACAUUCCCAUCCUUUCAUUUGGUGUGUAAAAGGGGGAUGACAAUAUGCAGCCCCACAGGGAAAUUCUAAAGCUUGACUAAUUAUCUGCAAGUGACCAUGAAAUUCCCAGCUGCAACACACUCUGCAAGUGUGAGGUGCUGCUUACAAUGCUUUAAGACUGGUGUUGGUUUCAUCCAUGGUUCUUCAUGAUGGAAUCUGCUCUCCCUCUGAAGGUCCAAAGUGAAAAGCCUCUAGAUGAUGAAUUUCAGAACUGCAAGGCAAAAACGAAACCCUGAGCUGGAGCCCCUGAUAAAGUUGUCCAGGAGGAACGUUCCCUCUCCUGCUUCCAUUUAUUGGGCAAGUAUUACAAUGGAAUAUGCUCAUAGAAUUAAAUAUAUAUUUGAACUUGUCUUUUCGUGUACUUACGGGUGACAAAUUAAUUUAAAUAUUAUUUAUUCUGUGAUUUUCAGUAAUUCAUUGGAGUAUGUGCAUACCAGUAAUUAGAAGGUGCAAAGUAAGAAACAGAGCUCAUAUAAAUUAUUCCAUAGCAUUCAUUAUUUAUUUGGCCAUUUAUAGCUGUGCAAAAUUUACUGAGAAAAUAUGUACAUUAAUUAAUACAUACAUUACAAUUUCAUUAGUCUUACUGCAUUUUUUUUCAACAACAAAAGAUACUUAGGAUUUGGUGUGUGAACAUCUAGGAAGGUUUGGCUCAUGUCUUUUAAAUAAUUGAAAUCUAACAAAGAGUUCUCUGACUGGCAUCCAGGAGGAGCUGCUUGUGGGCAGCCUUCUGCUGGCCUACAUAAGCAAUGGGAAAGAUGUUUUAUCAAAAGCUGCUGGGUUUCCUGAGACAAUCUGAGAGACCACUUUUUUGGCUGUGUUGUACAACUACUGGUGUUUGAUUUAGUGUUGAACAAGAGAGAAUCCAACAUUUCAGGCCCUUUGCUUUAACUUCCUAUAGCAGAAGGGUCAGUAGGGGAGCAUGGGUGCAGUUGGCAGGGUGGUGUCACUGCACAUCCUUGGCCAACGCAUGCCCGGUGGCUGAGGCCCAGGUCAAGGCCAUGGAGAAGACAGACAGAGGGGUCCUGGGGGCAUUGUUGGCCCCUGCUCCCAGCCCCACAGACUUCUCUCAAGGCUUCUGUGAAGUCAUUCCACUUUCAGUAGAGUGAGUCUGAAAAAGUCGUGUACAUCAACACCGAUGCACAACUCAAACGAUGGGGAAUUUUUUGUGCCAAGUGGAUUAAAAAAAUAAAAACAAAAUGCAAAUUAUUUUGUAGUUUGGAAGAGGAACGUUUUUAAUCAACACCAUAAAACUGGUGUCUGCUCACCUUUCUUACACCAUUAAUGUGUCCACGGGAUGAUGCACCAGGAGAUUUCCACAUGAGCAAACUCCACUCAGUGUAAAAAGGCUGCAGAUCCACCCUGCAAUUUAGUGGUUCAGCUCACGCAUAAAAGCUGUUAUCUGGGGGUUUAAUUAUUAAACAAAAGUGGAACUUCAGCUUUUGGAGAAAGGAGCUUCCUCCCUUUGCAGAUUCUAGCUGAGGGCUUCCUCACUUGGCAAUACUGAAGAGGAUUUUGCUAUGUCCACUUAAGACAACAGCCUCUGAGACGUGUGCCCCGUGGGAGCCUCACAGACAGCAGCAUAUUCAGAGAACAUUGUAUCUUGGACAGAGACAAUAAACUAUUAAUGGAGAAUAAUUCAUCUCACGAACCCUAAGUGUGUGUUUUGGAUUGUGAAUUGCUAACAGAACUUGUGAUGAAAGCUUGCUGUUAACUCUCAUAAUUCCUGCUAGUCCAGAAGCCUGGCAAGUUCCUGGUCAGAGAGGUAAUUUGGGUGGACAUUGCCAACCUGCUCUGUAUUGUUGGCUCAUUUCUCAUGGUUCUCCCUGUUCUGCAUGCCCACACGAACAGCCUGCUAAGGGACACACCAGCACUGGAUAUCCUGUCUCCAGCGUACCUUAAUCAUGUUUGAUUAUGUGCCCUUCCUGCUCCUGCUAAUGAACUUUGAGUGCCUGGCU
Molecule: long non-coding RNA, 3674 nt
Organism: Oxyura jamaicensis (ruddy duck)
Lineage: Eukaryota; Metazoa; Chordata; Aves; Anseriformes; Anatidae
Exons: 3
Source: RefSeq, a predicted model, not a curated record